CGAGCGCCUCCCAGCUACGACGGAGGCGCGGCGCACAGCUCAGUAACACGUGGCUAACCUGCCCUCGGGACGGGAAUACCCCCGGGAAACUGGGGCUAAUUCCCGAUAGGUGAAGAACUCUGGAAUGAGUCUCCGCCCAAAAGACGCUUAAAUCAUGCUUUUAGGCGCCGCCCAAGGAUGGGGCCGCGGCCGAUCAGGUUGUUGGUGUGGUAAUGGCUCACCAAGCCUUUUACCGGUGCGGGCCAUGAGAGUGGUAGCCCGGAGAUGGACACUGAGACAAGGGUCCAGGCCCUACGGGGCGCAGCAGGCGCGAAACCUCCUCAAUGCACUAAAGUGCGAAGGGGUUACCUCGAGUGCCAUCUGAAAAAGGUGGCUUUUCCUUGGUCUAAAAAGCCUAGGGAAUAAGAGGGGGGCAAGACUGGUGUCAGCCGCCGCGGUAACACCAGCCCCUCGAGUGGUGGGGAUGAUUAUUUGGCCUAAAGCGUCCGUAGCCGGCCGGGUAAGUUUCCCGUUAAAUCCAACGUCUCAAGCGUUGGACUGCGGGAAAUACUGCCUGGCUAGAGAGUGGGAGAGGUCAGCGGUAUUCUGGGGGUAGGGGCGAAAUCCUUUGAUCCCCGGAGGACCACCAGUGGCGAAGGCUGCUGACUAGAACACGUCUGACGGUCAGGGACGAAAGCUGGGGUAGCGAACCGGAUUAGAUACCCGGGUAGUCCCAGCCGUAAACGAUGCAUGCUAGGUGGUUGGGUUGGCCACGAGCCACCCCAGUGCCGCAGGGAAGCCGUUAAGCAUGCCGCCUGGGAAGUACGAUCGCAAGAUUGAAACUUAA
RNAcentral lists this ribosomal RNA (826 nucleotides) under uncultured crenarchaeote. Its description in RNAcentral is "bacterial SSU rRNA". It matches the Rfam family "Archaeal small subunit ribosomal RNA", at positions 59 to 859 of the family's 1478-position model. The record is from RNAcentral. Lineage: Archaea; Thermoproteati; Thermoproteota.